Molecule: ribosomal RNA, 424 nt
Filed under: uncultured prokaryote
Description: bacterial SSU rRNA
Rfam family: Bacterial small subunit ribosomal RNA
Source: RNAcentral
UGGGGAAUCAUAGACAAUGGGCGCAAGCCUGAUCUUGCCAUGCCGCGUGAGCGAAGAAGGCCUUAGGGUUGUAAAGCUCUUUCACCGGUGACGAUAAUGACGGUAGCCGGAGAAGAAGCCCCGGCUAACUCCGUGCCAGCAGCCGCGGUAAUACGGAGGGGGCUAGCGUUGUUCGGAAUUACUGGGCGUAAAGCGCACGUAGGCGGAUCUUUAAGUCGGGGGUGAAAUCCCGGGGCUCAACCCCGGAACUGCCUUCGAUACUGGGGAUCUUGAGGUCUGGAGAGGUGAGUGGAAUGUCGAGUGUAGAGGUGAAAUUCGUAGAUAUUCGACGGAACACCAGUGGCGAAGGCGGCUCACUGGCCAGAUACUGACGCUGAGGUGCGAAAGCGUGGGGAGCAAACAGGAUUAGAUACCCCCGUAGUCC